Molecule: long non-coding RNA, 169 nt
Organism: Bactrocera dorsalis (oriental fruit fly)
Lineage: Eukaryota; Metazoa; Arthropoda; Insecta; Diptera; Tephritidae
Exons: 2
Source: RefSeq, a predicted model, not a curated record
CAGAACCUUUUAUUUCCAAUCUGUAAGUACGGUAAUUUACCCGUGCUUGAGCGUAUAGGAUUAGCAUUUGUUUCGAUUUGCAGCGGGCAUCGUGUGAAUUUAACUAAACACUAGAAAAUAACAAAUAAAACAUAUCGAUUGCUUGGUAAAAAUUAUAAAAAAAAAACAA